Molecule: ribosomal RNA, 525 nt
Filed under: uncultured fungus
Lineage: Eukaryota; Fungi
Description: eukaryotic LSU rRNA
Rfam family: 5.8S ribosomal RNA (bases 110-263)
Source: RNAcentral
UCCGUCAAGGUUUCCUCUCCUGUUAACCAUUCGCGGGAGUUGUGUGUUUCAUUCCAAGCUCCCAGCCUUUCUGUCUGAGUGUCAGUGUUGAAUUUACAGUAAUCGUUAAAACUUUCAGCAACGGAUCUCUUGGUUCUCGCAUCGAUGAAGAGCGCAGCGAAAUGCGAUAAGUAGUGUGAAUUGCAGAAUUCCGUGAAUCAUCGAGUUCUUGAACGCAUAUUGCGCCUUCAGGUAUUCCUGAAGGCAUGCCUGUUCGAGCGUCAUCAAACAUCCCGUCAAUGAUCGGUUUCGGCCAUGCCACCGGUUCUUGGUUUUGAUCGAAGAGCGGACGCGAUGCAAAGCCGUUCUUGAUUGAAUUAUAUUUGCAAAGGUUGGAAUGCACGAUUCGGCGUGAUAAUUCUUCAUGUCGUCCGAGUUCGUCUCUGCUUUGCUUCAUGCCGGUUCCGAAUCUCGGAGCCAAUCUACCGUUAUGACCUCGGAUCAGGUAAGAGUACCCGCUGAACUUAAGCAUAUCAAUAAGCGGAG